UACGGAGGGUCCAAGCGUUAUCCGGAAUUAUUGGGUUUAAAGGGUCCGUAGGCGGUUUUGUAAGUCAGUGGUGAAAGCCCAUCGCUCAACGGUGGAACGGCCAUUGAUACUGCAAGACUUGAAUUAUUGUGAAGUAACUAGAAUAUGUAGUGUAGCGGUGAAAUGCUUAGAGAUUACAUGGAAUACCAAUUGCGAAGGCAGGUUACUAACAAUAUAUUGACGCUGAUGGACGAAAGCGUGGGUAGCGAACAGG
This 253-nucleotide ribosomal RNA is filed under the name uncultured bacterium. RNAcentral describes it as "partial 16S ribosomal RNA". It matches the Rfam family "Bacterial small subunit ribosomal RNA", at positions 524 to 776 of the family's 1533-position model. The record is from RNAcentral.